This 253-nucleotide ribosomal RNA is filed under the name uncultured bacterium. RNAcentral describes it as "partial 16S ribosomal RNA". It matches the Rfam family "Bacterial small subunit ribosomal RNA", at positions 524 to 776 of the family's 1533-position model. The record is from RNAcentral.
UACGAAGGGGGCUAGCGUUGCUCGGAAUUACUGGGCGUAAAGCGCACGUAGGCGGCUUUGUAAGUAAGAGGUGAAAGCCCGGAGCUCAACUCCGGAACUGCCUUUUAGACUGCAUCGCUUGAAUCCAGGAGAGGUGAGUGGAAUUCCGAGUGUAGAGGUGAAAUUCGUAGAUAUUCGGAAGAACACCAGUGGCGAAGGCGGCUCACUGGACUGGUAUUGACGCUGAGGUGCGAAAGCGUGGGGAGCAAACAGG